Molecule: microRNA precursor, 235 nt
Organism: Medicago truncatula (barrel medic)
Lineage: Eukaryota; Viridiplantae; Streptophyta; Magnoliopsida; Fabales; Fabaceae
Rfam family: MIR2655 microRNA precursor family
Source: Rfam
UCCAUAAUUAAUAAAAGGUAUGUUUAGGUCCCUUAACUUUAUUUAAAGUAUCGGUUUGAUCCCUUCUGUUAAUUUAAUUCAAAAAAACGUUAAGUUUAGGGACCAAAUUAAUACUAAUUAAAUAAGUUAAGCGAUCAAAAUUUAACGUUUUUUUUAAUUAAAUUAACAUAAAGGACCAAUCCGAUACUUUAAAUAAAGUUAAGGGACCUAAACAGAUCUUUCAUUAUUUAUGAAA